Molecule: long non-coding RNA, 5605 nt
Organism: Onychostoma macrolepis
Lineage: Eukaryota; Metazoa; Chordata; Actinopteri; Cypriniformes; Cyprinidae
Exons: 10
Source: RefSeq, a predicted model, not a curated record
CGAAAACGAAAGUACUGAGAAAACACGCAGAAAACAAGAGAAAGCAUUGCUCGUUGGAUUUGAUCCAUUCCGUGUCCUAGAAAACAUGUUCCAGAUAUAAAUUUAACACAGACUCUACCGAUUUUAACACUCGUGGACAUUGUUUUUGUGUUUAUUCCGAUCCGUCUGUACCAUCAAGAGAUAUGAGAAUGAACUGCUGACAAGCUACAGGCCUAAAGGACAGAAAAAUGAGCGUUUCAGAUACUUAUAAAUGCUCUUCUUAGUGGACAAGACUGCUAGUCACACUGAACAGCUGAUCGCUGCAGUUUAUAAUUAAUAAUGAUAUAAUCGAGGAACAGAGAUGAGUCUCUCAGAGAAACAGAGUGUAAGAUCAGGAUCACAUGUGUCUGUGAAGAGUGACCGGUCAAAGAAUGCUGACCUACCGACCUUCAAUGAGAAAAACACAUCUAUCAAAAGUGUAAGAUCAGGAUCACAUGUGUUCAGCUCGGUGUCUGUGAAGAGUGACUGGUCAAAGAGUCACCCGCUGAACUUCAGUGAAGAACCAUCAUGGACCAAACGAUCCAGAUUUCCAGACUCACAGGAACCACAAGACUUUUACAGACAAUCUCCAGCAGAUCUUCCAGGAUCUUGAGAGCAAAAUAAUCACAUUUCUGAAGAAAGAGCUGGAAAAUUUUAAGAAAAUAUUACAAAAAGAGAACACACAAUGCUUUGUGAAGGACUUUAAUGAGAAUAGAAGCAGUAUCACAGAAGCAGCUCUUGAUCUCUCGCUCUGCUUCCUGAGAGAGAUGAAGCAAGAUGAAGCUGCUGAUACUCUAGAAGAUGAGCUGUUCUUCAUUCAUCAGCUGAAAUGUAGCUUAAAGAAGAAGUACCAAUGUGUGUUUGAAGGAAUCACAAAUCAAGGUGACUCCACACUUCUGGAGCCGCACCAAGGUGUUGGAUUAAACCAUACAGGGAUAUUGGGAUAUUUAUGACACUCAAACAGAACAACAAACUGGACGCUAAACAGUCAGGUUUCAGGAGUGGCCAUUCAACUGAGACUGCGCUUCUCUCGGUCACUGAAGCCCUGCAAUUGCAAAGCCCAUUCCAAAUCAUCAGUCCUCAUUCUGCUGGAUCUAUCUGCCGCGUUUGACACUGUCAAUCAUCAGAUACUCCUCUCCACUCUCUCAUCACUGGGCAUCGCUGGAAUUCCACUUCGCUGGUUUGAAUCCUAUCUCACUGAUGAUCCAACGGUAGCUGCAAGGAUCUCAGGUUGCCUGUCAGACAUCUCGGCAUGGAUGAAAGAACAUCACCUCCAGCUCAACCUGGCAAAGACUGAGCUUCUUGUCUUUCCUGCCGCUCAACUCUACAGCAUGACAUCACGAUCCAGUUAGGUUCAUCAACAAUUACCCCAUCAACUUCGGUCAGAAAUCUUGGUGUAAUCUUUGAUGACCAGCUGACCUUCAAAGACCACAUUGCAAAGACUGCUCGAUCUUGCAGGUUUGCACUACAACAUCAGAAAGAUCAGGCCCUUUCUGAAGGAGCAUGCUGCACAACUUCUUGUCCAGGCCCUUGUCAUUUCUAGGCUGGACUACUGCAAUGCCCUUCUGGCUGGACUUCCAUCAAACACAGUCAAACCUCUACAAAUGAUUCAGAAUGCGGCACGACUGGUCUUCAAGGAACCCAAAAGAGCCCAUGUUACACCUCUCUUUAUCUCAUUGCAUUGGCUACCAAUCGCAGCUCGCAUCAAGUUCAAGACACUGAUGCUUGCUCAUAGAACAACCACAGGCUCAGCACCCGCCUACAUGCACUCACUAUUAAGAAUCUACAUCCUCCAGAAAUCUGAGAUCUGCUAGUGAGCGACGCCUCGUGGUACCAUCACAAAGAGGCUCAAAAUCACUCUCCAGAACAUUCUCGUUCACCAUUCCUGGCUGGUGGAAUGAUCUUCCCACCCAUAUUCGAGUACUGGAUCCCUGUCAAUCUUCAAGCAACAGCUGAAAACUCAUCUCUUUCGACACUACUUGACUUCAACCUACACAUAAAAAAAAAAAAAAAAAAAAGUUUCUCCUUACUUAUUCCUUCCUUGCUAGCUUGUACUUAUUUAAACAAUGCCUGAGACUUGGUGUUACAAGCACUUCCUUUGUCGAAUUGCCUCUUCAAGAUGAAUCGCUUCAUGUGUUCCCCAAAUUGUAAGUCGCUUUGGAUAAAAGCGUCUGCAAAAUGACUAAAUGUAAAUGUAAAUGUAAAUGUAACAUUUAAAAUAAUUUACACAAUAUAUAUAUAUAUAUAUAUAUAUAUAUAUAUAUAUUUACCAUUGUGGUGAAGAGUGGAGCUUGUGUUUAGACUAUCAGUAGCUAUUAUAAGCACAUAAGUGUUAUAUAAUCAUGAAGAGUAGAAAUGCUGAUCAUAUAAGUCACGUGAUUGGCCUUAAAUUGAUGUAUUUUAAUUAUGCUCAUAAGAACAAACAACCAGCAUAACACUUGUUCUCACGUUAAACUUUUGCCAAAAGGCAAAUGAGCUAUAUAAAAAAAAUAUAAAUGUUGUUAGCUCAUUGAGAACAAACAGUUUUAGCUCAUGUAGCCAUAGCCUAACUACAAGGCCUACACUUCACAAUAAUGGUAACUUCAAAAAUCGGCAUAAACAAAAACUCUUUUAAAUGUCAAAAAUAGCUGAACAACAAACUUUAAAAAGUCUUUCCCUUUACUAAAAAAUACACAUCAAGCAGCACUUAAUUUACAGAUUUACACUCCUGAUCUAGCCCUAUGCAAAGCAUGCUGGGAACUAGAAAUCCACUUCCCAGUUUCAGGAUUUACAGAAGUUUCUGUUAUGUUCAUUUUGUAGUGUUACCGUUGUCGUGAAGAGUAGAGCCUGUGGUUAGGUUCAGGAUGGACAGCAAAACUUUAAGAUUGUGUGUGUUUCAUGUUGUUUGACUAUUUACAUGUAAAUGUAUAGUGAGAACAUUUUUGGUUAUCACAUUAGCAUAUGCUGUUGAUAAUUAACACUAAAAAAUGAAAGAUCAGCGUGAAUACGAUGUUUAUGUAAACAAACCACAUAUUUAUGUUUAAUCAUUUAGUAGACACUUUUAUCCAAAACGACUUACAAGUGAGGACAAUAGAAGCAAUCAAAACCAACAAAAGAGCAAUAAAAUGCAUGUGCUAUUACAAGUCGUGGUUAGCCUAACGCAGUACACGUCAAGUCACCUUUAUUUAUAUAGCGCUUUUAACAAUACAGAUUGUGUCAAAGCACUUAACAGUAUCAAAUUGGAGGACAGAGUGUCAGUAAUGAAUAAUGAUAAGAUUAAAUACUCAAUUUUCAGUUAAAGGCAUUUCAUUACUGAAUUCAGAGAUGUCAUUGUCUAGCUCAGUUUAGUUUAAAUAGUGUCUACGCAAUCAAAUGGACGAUAAUCGCUGUAAAUUAAUACACGUAACAAGGUGUGUUUUUUUAUACAUACAGUAUAUAUAUAUAUAUAUAUAUAUAUAUAUAUAUAUAGAUAGAUAGAUAGAUAGAUAGAUUUGGAAUAGAGUGUGUUAGAGUUAGAGGGUCAAAUAUAGAUGGACGAGAUGUGUUUUUAGCUGCUUCUUGAAGAUGGCUAAGGACUCAGCUGCUCAAAUUGAGUUGGGCAGGUCAUUCCACCAGGAGAGAACAGUUAAAGUAAAAGUCCGUGAAAGUGAUUUAGUGCCUCUUUGGGUACGUAAUUCUGAAGUAGUGAAUUUAGGUAAAGGGGUGCCGAGCCAGUGGUGGUUUUGUAGGCAAACAUCAAUGUCUUGAAUUUUAUGUGAGCAGCUAUUGGUAGCCAGUGCAAAUUGAUGAACAGAGGUGUGACGUGUUCUUUUCGGCUCUUUGAAGGAGUGAUGGUUGAUGUGUCUAACUGGAUGGUGAAAUUGUGAUGAAGUGGUUGGUUUGAUGGAACCACAAGCUGUUCUGUCUUGGCAAGGUUGAGUUGAAGGUGAUGGUCCUUAAUCCAGCAAGAAAUGUCUGUUAGACAAGCUGAGAUGCAAGCAGCUAUCAUCAGAUCAUCAGGAUGGAAUGAGGUAGAGUUGAGUGUCAUCAGCAUAGCAGUGAUAUGAAAAGCCAUGUUUCUGAAUGACAAAAUGUAGACAGUGAUUCCAUGUAGACAGAGAAUAUAAGUGGUCCAAGAACUGAGCCCUGAGGCACCCCAGCAGCUAGAUGUUGCGACUUGGACACCUCACCCCUCCAAGAUACCUUGAAGGACCUGUCUGAGAGGUAAUUGUCAAACCACUGGAGUGCGGUUCCUGAGAUGCCCUUUGCCAAUAGGGUUGACAGGAGGAUCUGGUGGUUGACCAUAUCAAAAGCAGUGGACAGAUCCAGCUAGUUAAGUAAUGGAGAUUUGGAAACCGCUCUUGCCAGUCUUAGGGCUUCAACAACUGAGAGCAAGGCAGUCUCGGUUUAAUGUCCACUUCUGAAACCAGACUGGUUGCUGUCGAGGAGGUUGUUCUGUGUGAGAAAGUCAGAGACUUGGUUGAACACAACUCGUUAAAGAGUUUUUGCAAUGAAAGGAAGAAGGGAAAAGAGUUCUUUAAAAGAGUUGGGUUAAGAGUGGGUUUCUUAAGUAGUGGGGUUAUACGAUCCUGUCUAAAUGCUGAGGGAAAAACACCAGUGUGAAUGAGAUGAAAUAUGAUGAGAUGAAAUAGAAUCAAGUGGACAAGUAGUAGGAUGAUUAGGAAGGAUGAGUUUAGAGACUUCUGACUCAGAGAGUGGAGAGAAGGAUGUGAACGAGUGUAUGUUUGCUGGUAAGAUGUGUUUGACAGUUUGAGUAAGAGAUGCUAACUGUUUAGAGCGAGGAAGCGAAGAUGAAAGUAAAACAGAGAGCCUGGAGGGUGAAUGUGAGCCUAGUUUACAUCGAAAGAUGACAUGCGGAGUGAUGACAUACCCAUGUGUUGUGUCAGGAACCAUGUUGAGGUUAAGAGUGAGCAGGAAGUGAUCUGAGGUGUGCAGUGGGGUAACCAGCACAUGAUCAGUGGAGCAGUGUCCUGAGAAUUAAUGCGAAAUUAUUGAAUUAAAUGAAAGAUUAUUAAAUAUAUAAUUAUCAUUGUAAUGCAUGGGGUGGGACUGAGAACCAUGAACGUGAGGCUUGGUGGCUCCCACGGCUCUCAGCCCCUCCCCUCUUGUCCCAAAAAUUUUAAGUGAAAGUGACGUGACGUGGCCAAGUAUGGUUACCCAUACUCGGAAUUUGUGUUCUGCAAUUAACCCAUCCAAAUUGCACACACACAGCAGUGAACGAAUGAACACACAGUGCAAAUGACAACUGAGCCACCUAUGAACCUUGAUCAGUCUCAAGAAACUUGGAUGAAGAAGAACAAACAUUUCCCAUCCACCAAUUCCAAAUGAUUUUCUGUUCCACAAAAAAAAAACAAACAAAAAAAAACAUGUUCCCCCCCAAAAAAGGAUCCACAAGUAUGUGACACAGAGCAAGAAAUGUUCAAGUUUUGAUGCAUGUCAGCUUCCUGCAAAGAUACUCAAUGUAGAGGAAGAGGUCGACAUGCUAUGGAAGAAGCCACCUACAGAGUUGAUAAGUCUCCUAGCCAGAAUCUGGAGUACCUGUUACAUCCCAAGGAAUUCCAAACACUGAGGCCACAUGAAUGGUUAUUUGGAGAGAAUACAUAUCAAA